ACCUCCAAGGAUAAGGAGGUGUUUUAUCCUAAGGUUGAGGUGUCUUACCUCCAAGGAUAAGGAGGUGUUUUAUCCUAAGGUUGAGGUGUCUUACCUCCAAGGAUAAGGAGGUGUUUUAUCCUAAGGUUGAGGUGUCUUACCUCCAAGGAUAAGGAGGUGUUUUAUCCUAAGGUUGAGGUGUCUUACCUCCAAGGAUAAGGAGGUGUUUUAUCCUAAGGUUGAGGUGUCUUACCUCCAAGGAUAAGGAGGUGUUUUAUCCUAAGGUUGAGGUGUCUUACCUCCAAGGAUAAGGAGGUGUU
Long non-coding RNA from Pecten maximus, 299 nucleotides. RefSeq lists it as uncharacterized. The transcript has 3 exons. NCBI's taxonomy places the organism in Eukaryota, Metazoa, Mollusca, Bivalvia, Pectinida, Pectinidae. The record is from RefSeq and is a predicted model, not a curated record.